CAUAAAAAAGGACACGGACACAUGUUCGAGAAGAAGCACGGAUAACACUGGAAGAAAUGUUCCACACCUUCCGAAUCGGGGCAGUGAAUAAAAGAGAUCCACGCAGUGCUCUUUUGGCUUACUGAUUAAUAUAAUAUAAUAUAACCGAGACACCGAGAUGUCCUUAAAAUCUUUGACAUUCUGCACCCAUUUUUCGGCUGUAACCCAAUCCUCCAGCCAAGUCAGUGUGCUCCUAAGGGCAAGGAAAAUUGCAACAUUUCACAUGUCACAACGAGGGCGAUUUCCCUACCCCAAAUAAAAUGGACCAUGUCGAAUCCUGCGGGUUCCGUUGAUUUCCUCGCCCGAAAAAAAAACCCAGCCACGCGCGUUUCAAAUCCCUUUAGUUACACUGUUUCAAAAUUAAAUAUUUACAUUUUGUAUGCGGAGGCGGAUGCGGCGGGCAUGAGGCCUGAAUCUCGAUUCACAUGUGGGUGUUUUGGCCGGAAUGGUGGUAUCUAGCAACUGGAUACACUGGCCAUCUAAUCGGUGGUGGCUGCCACUCCGUCAGCUGGCCGUGAGCACUUGUCGUGGACAGAGGCGCAGCUGGUCAAGGGGACUACCCGAUGCUGGACCCCACCGAGGGACGCCCCUGGCAGUCGCAUAUGAGCUCAGAUCAUCAAUUCCCCGUUGGCCGGAUGGGGUGGUGGCCACCAUGCAGUUUCCGAUGCGCGUUUAUUUAGUAAUUUGUUUGUCUCCCGACUUAGUCACGGUUUAUGGUUGACAUUUAUUUUAUGAGCGUGAAAAAUAUAUCACUCGCCAGUGGCAGCCACGCCACCCACCGCGGGAUUCCAGGCGGGGUGCAGGCAGGUGGCUGCACCACCCACUCCACCCACUUGCGCCACUUAAGCCAAUUUUGAUAGCGGCUUAUUGAUGGUCGAGCGACUGGCGAUUUGUGCAUUGGUCUCGCUCCAACUUGCUGAUUGAAUCAGUGCGGAAGUGGGACGAGGACGAGAUCGAUGGGCAGUUCGUGGUCGUACGUACAAUCUGUACUCCUGGUCAGGCGAGUCGGAUCUUAAUGGCUAUGGUAGUUCGAGCACUUGA
Molecule: long non-coding RNA, 1080 nt
Organism: Drosophila mauritiana
Lineage: Eukaryota; Metazoa; Arthropoda; Insecta; Diptera; Drosophilidae
Exons: 3
Source: RefSeq, a predicted model, not a curated record